Molecule: ribosomal RNA, 253 nt
Filed under: uncultured bacterium
Lineage: Bacteria
Description: partial 16S ribosomal RNA
Rfam family: Bacterial small subunit ribosomal RNA
Source: RNAcentral
UACGAAGGGGGCUAGCGUUGUUCGGAUUUACUGGGCGUAAAGGGAGCGUAGGCGGACAUUUAAGUCAGGGGUGAAAUCCCGGAGCUUAACUUCGGAACUGCCUUUGAUACUGGGUGUCUUGAGUGUGAGAGAGGUAUGUGGAACUCCGAGUGUAGAGGUGAAAUUCGUAGAUAUUCGGAAGAACACCAGUGGCGAAGGCGACAUACUGGCUCAUUACUGACGCUGAGGCUCGAAAGCGUGGGGAGCAAACAGG